This is a non-coding RNA of Otolemur garnettii (small-eared galago), 300 nucleotides long. The record is from Rfam. NCBI's taxonomy places the organism in Eukaryota, Metazoa, Chordata, Mammalia, Primates, Galagidae.
GCCAGACGCGAUGGCAUGUGUCUGUAGUCCCAGCUGCUCAGGAGGCUGAGACAGGAGGAUUGCUUGAGUCCAGGACUUCAGGGUUGUAGUGCGCUAUGCCAAUUGGGUGUCUGCACUAACUUCGGCAUCAAUAUGGUGACCUCCCAGGAACGGGGGACCACCAGGUUGCCUAAGGAGGAGUGAACCAGCCCAGGUUGGAAAUGGAGCAGGUCAAAAUUCCCAAGUUGAUCAGUAGUGGGAUGGUGCCUGUGAAUAGCCACUGCACUCCAGCCUGGCCAACAUAGUGAGACCCUGUCUCUA